CAGAAAAAUGUUGUGGUAAAGACAAAUGAUGGCAGGUGCUGAGGAGGAGAAAGCUGCUUUAAAAUGGAUGGUUAGUGCAGGUGCCUUGAUUAGGUGACAGUGUAGUCCAGGAACAUGGGAAGAAGGCUGUAGGAGGCACAGAGAACAAUGGCCUUGUGGUAGCAAAUAACUUAGUGUAUUCUUGGAACUAUGAGAAAAUCAACUUGGAUGAAGCAUGGUGAACUAAGAAAGGGGACACGCUAGGCUCUAAUAGGGCCCUAGUAAGUGUUUGCUUAGUGAAUGAGUAAAUAGAUGAGUGAAAGAUUUUUGUAGUCUUAAUUCUGGCCAGUCCUUAUUGCAGAUAAAGAGUAAUGAUGAAUCAGGGAUAGAUAUCAUUGAGGGUGAUGGGCCAACUGGUCAACUCAGAGACUCUAAAGCAGCAUCUCAGUUGGUGCCUAAAUUUUAAGCUUCAUGCUACAGACCCAGAAGUUUGAUUUCAGUAUAUCAACAGUGGUCUAAUACCUUGAGGAGGAACUUAUUCCAACCAAACACACAGGGACUGAUGUAUUAAUUCAGAAUGCUGAUCAAUUUACAUUGAGAUCUUAUUUUCUAAUGACCAAAAUACCAUAUUAAUGUAUGUUGUAGGGAGCAUUCCUUUUUCCAGCGUGAGGGUACUGGCAAAUUGAAUUAGUAACCAGAAGCUCGCUCAGUAAAUUUAGAAGAGGAUCAAGAUCUUUGGGAGUAUUUUGUGUGGGUCAAGUUGAUGGUGGAUGACAUAUCCUUGCUCCACAGUGAAGAAUAAUAUUACAAGUGCAUGUAUUUUUUUGUAGGUCGUUUUUUUCUGAUUAUAAAAUAACAGGUGAAUACCUUAGAAAAUAACAAUUCUGUACAGAGGAGGCCAUUGUUAAUAUUUGUAGUUCUCUACAUCAAGAUCAUGAAGAUAAUCUAUAUAAACUUUUACUUGCUUUUUAUUUUACUUUUGCUUUUCACAUUUUGGUUUUAAUACAUUUGAAGUCCACAUUUGGAGAUUAUGUGAGGUAAGGAUCCAACUUAAUAUUUUCCAGGGAGUAUACCAAUUUUCCUAUCAUCAUUUCCAAAAUAUUUAUCCUUUCUCCACUGGCUUGUGAUAUGACCUGUAUCAUACACCAGGUUUUCAUAUGGGUCUCUUUCUCAGCUUUUAAAUUCUAUUCCAUUAGUCUUUGAUCAUAUGCAGUGUUUUUCUUAUUGUGAUUUUUGUACUAUGCCUUAAUUUUUUAAUAAUGCCUUUUAGUUGGAUGGUAAUUAUCCUGGGUUUUCUAUGUGGAUUAUCAGGUCAGCUUCAAAUAAUGAACACCCUCUCUUCUCUUCCAAUUGUUUUGACUUGUUUCUUCUUGUCUUAUAUUAGCCAGAAUGUCAUAUAGCAUAUUGAACAGUAGCUAUGGUGGUGGCGUUUUUAUCUUAUUGGACUUAAAAAGAAAUACAUCAAACGUUUCUCCAUUAAUUAUGAUGUUUGCUAUAGGGCAUUGAUAGCCUUCAAAAAGUUAAGAAAGUUCUUUUCUUUCUAGCCUUCAAGGUUAAAAAGUUUUUAAAAAUCUUAAUUGAAUGUGAACUUUAUCAAAUGCCUUUCUUAUGUCUAUUGAGAUAAUCAUGUAUUUUCUUCUUUAAUACAUUCCUGUGGUGAAAUAUGUUAAUAGGUUUUCUGAUAUUAAAUUAUCUUUGCAUUUCUAGAAUAAAACCUAAUAAGUAUUAUUAGGGUUAUUUUUCUCAAACCCCUGAUUGGAUUCUGUUAGCUCAUAUUUUAUUGAGUGGAUUUCCUUCUAUGUUUGUUAGUGAAAUUGGCCUAUAAUUUUCUUUGCUGUCCUCAUCUGAUAGUUUUAAAGAUUGUGUCAAACUGAAAAAUGAAUUGGGUAGUUUCCACAAUUUUUCUAAUUUUGGCUAAAUUUAUAUAACAUAGAAAUGCUCUGUUUCAGUUCAGUGGGACACCCUGUAAGAUCGUUGGGUAACACUAUUUCAGUUUUUCAUGGUUGUCUAUUCAAGUUUCCUAUUUUAUGUUAUGCUAAUUUUAUUGGUAAUAUAAUUUUUCAUUCUAUUUAUUGUAGGUUUUCAAAAAUAUUUGGCUAUAGGCGUUUUAUAAUAAAACUACUUUUAAAGUCUUUAUUAUAGCUAUAAUUUGUUCCCUUAUUUAAGUAUAUUUUGUUUGCUUGCAUUCUGUUGUUAUUUUGUUGAACUGUUAUUUCCUGAGGUUAUCAGCAAUAAUCUUUUUCUAGAAGAAGCUUCUGAUAGUAUUAACCUUUUUUUUUUCUAUACCAUUCCAUUAUUUUUUCUUGGGUUCUACCUUUUAUUAUUUUCUUUCUUUUUGUUCCUUUGGGUGUGCUCUGUCUCUUGCUUGUGUCUUCAGUUGUGCUUAGUUAUUUUUCAGCUUUUCCUAUUUUCUAAUACAUGUAUUGAGAACGAAUAAUUUCCCUCUAACAAACUUGUCCUAAUGAGUGUACACAUACAGCACUGUCUCCACCAAGUUGAAGAUAAACCUUCUUUUCAGGCACAUGAUAAAGAAUUAUAACAAAUAUUAGUAAAUUGGAAUCAUUCAAUGUUAUGAGAACAAUGCAAUUAAGCUAUGACUCAACAAUUAAAGAGUAACUUGAAAAAUUUUAUAUGGUUUCAAAUAAAAUUCAGGUCACAAAACAAUUUAAAUAGCAAUUAGAAAAUAUUUUAAACUGAAGGAUCAUGGAAACGCUACAGAUAAAAACUUUUAGGGUGCAGCUAAACAGGACUUUGAGGGAAAAUUAUAGCUGUAAAUCCUAUAUUAGGAAGGAAUAAAAGUGAAGAGAAUGUUAAAGUCAUGAGCAAAAAUUAAUGAAAUAGAAAAUGAAUAUUCAGUAGACAGUGUUCAGUAGAGAAUAGCAAGUAAGCUAAAAGGAAUAAUAAAACUGAAACUUUUGGCAAGAUGGCUGAAGGAAAAAGAAGACUUAUAACCAGUAUCAGGAAUGAAAAAGACUCAAGUGCUGCAAACAGGGAAAAGAUAAGAAAAUAAAGUGAACAACACAUAACAUCAGGCUACAGUAUGACAACCAUUUCAUACCUAUUCCAAUGUCAAAAAUCAAAGGUCUGACAGUACCAAGAGUUGGAGAGGAUGUGAAUCAGCCGUAUCACACAGUUUGUUGGUGGGAAUGUAUAUUGGUGCCGCCAUUUUAUGAGACAGUUUGGCAUGAUCUUAAUAGUUAACCAUUUGUAUGCUCAUCUGCCAAGCACAUCCACCUCUGGGUUCAGGAGAAACUUGAAAAUAUAUGCUAGGAGAAAUGUACAAAAAGUUCAUAGCAGCAUUAUUUGAUAAAGCAGAAACUUGGAAAUGAUUCAGAUGCCCAUGGACAGGGGAAUGGAUAAAGCACAUUCUCAAGUGAAUAUUAUAUGGCUACAAAAUGAUUGAACAACAUCUGUAUUCAAAAAUUCUGCUACAUAAAAUUGAGUGAAAUAAUUAAGUUCCAAAAGGUCAAAUAUGCUUAAUAUUCAAAGAGCAACUUAAACUAAGCCACAUACUCUUCAGGAAUAUAUCUAUAUGUGUGUGCAUAUCUAUUAUUUAUAGAGAGACAUAUAGAUAUAUGAUGAGUGAUUGCAAGAUUCAGGAAAUAUUUUGAGUGUGGGAGGUGGGGGAUGGGAUGGAGGGAAGAUCACAUAGCUGUAUAAAAAUGUCAGUUUUCUAGUUCCUAUAUUGGGUUCACAGUGUUUAUUAUUAAAAAAAAUAAAACAUGGCUUGUAUGAACCAAUGAUCGGAGUGUUACAAAGAAAGGGUUUUGAGGCUGGGCAUAGUGGCUCACGCCUGUUAUCUCAGCAGUUUGGGAGGCCGAGGCAGGCAGAUCACCUGAGUUCAGGAGUUUGAGACCAGCCUGGCCAACGUGGCGAAACCCCGUCUCUACUAAAAAUACAAAAAUUAGCUGGGUGUGGCGGUGUGUGCCUGUAAUCCCAGCUACUUGGGAGGCUGAGGUAGGAGAAUUGCUUGAACCCAGGAGGUGGAGGUUGCAGUGAGCCAUGAUUGGGCCACUGCAUUCCAGCCUGGGAGACAGAGCGAGACUCCAUCUCAAAAAAAAAAAAAAAAAAAAAAGGAUUUUGAACUCAAUAAAUAUUAAAACAUCAAAUUAACAUAUUCACAUUCUAAGGGAGAAAAAUCGUAUGAUCAUCUUAAUAGAUGCAGGAAAUCAUUUGUUAGACGUCACCAUCCAUUUGUGACUAAAGGAAAAAGCAAACAAAUUAGGAAUACAAGGCAAUUUACUUAAACCUGGCAAGGGGUAUCUACAGACAAUACUGCAGACAUCAAACAUCAUUCUUAAUGGUGCAAGUUCAUAGCAUUCCCAAGACUGAGGAACUUGUCAAGGAUGGCUACUACCAAUUCUGUUGGUCAUCAUACUGGAGCUAGCCCACAUAGUCAAUAAAGAAAUUAAAGAUGUUAGGACUGGGGCAAGUAAUAAAACUCCUCCAUAAUUGAUUCGAUUAUCUACAUGGAACAUCCAAAAGAACUGUAUACAUAUUUACAUUUGUUGUUUUUUUUUUUUUCUCAGACAGGGUCUUGCUCUGUUGCCCAGGCUGGAGUGGAGUGGCACAAACAUGGCCUCACUAUAGCCUCCAUGUCUUGGGCUCAAGCGAUCCUCCUGCCUCAGCCUCCAGAGUACCUGGGACCACAGGCACACCACUAUGCUUGACAAAUUUUUUAAUUUUUUGUAGAGACGGGGUCUCGGCGUGUUUCCCAGACUGAAAAUAUUUUUUAGAAAUAAGAAUUUGGCAAGUUAGUUGGAUAUGAAAAUCACUACUGACCAUCCUCAACCUACAAUGGUUUGACUUAAUUUUUUGACAUUAUAAUGGGUUUAUUGUGGUAUUAAAUGCAUUUUUGACUCAUGAUAUUUUCACAUUACUUUAGGUUUAUCAGGACAUAACCCCAUUGUAAUUCAAUAGUAUGUAAUCUGCAUACAAAAAUCAGUUGCAUUUUAAUAUACCAGCAGAUAUCAGUUAAAAAUGAAAAUUUAAAAAUAUACCAUUUACAAUAGCAUAGAAAAAUAUGAAAUACAUAGGAAUGAAUUUAAAAAGCUAUACACACAUGUACACAUGAGCACAUAGCAUAAUGGAAAUGACUAAUAAAUUCAGUUGCAUUAAUAUGAAGAAUUUCUUCUCGCUAAAUCUACCAUAAAGACACAAGUCACAAACUAGGUGAAGAUAAUUGCAAAUUAUAUAAUUGACAAAAACUCAUACCUAAUAUACAAAAAUAUUUCAUACAAAAAAAAAACGAAAAGAGAAAUCCAAUAGACAAAUGAAGAAAGCAUGAGAACAAGUACUUCAUAAAAGAGAAACUUGAAUGUCCAAUAAACAGGAAAAAAAUGUUUGCCUCAUUAUUAAUCAGGAAAUUCAUAUUAAACUACAAUAAGAAAUUUAUAUUCCCACCACACUGGCAAAUACAAAGUGUGAUCAUACCUGGGGUUAAGAAUGUGCGUCUUAAGCACUUACUGGUGAGAAUGUAAAUUGGUUCAACUACUUUGGAGACUCACGUGACAUUACUUAGUAAAUUUAAAUGUGUGUUCAUCCUAAGAUCCAGUGAUAAUACUUCUAGAUAUUUAAAGUAGAGAAAAUCUUACACAUAUGCACAAGAAGAUAAGUGUGAGGAUAUUCAUAACAGUCCUAACAUGAAAAUAACUCCAGUAUUUAUCAUCAGUAGAAUUCAUAAUUAAUUGUGUUUAUAUGAUACUGCAAUAAAAAGAUCUGUAGCUACAUGCAGCAACAUGGAUGAAUUUUACAGACAAUUGUGCAAAAUAAGCAGGCUACAAAAGAAUAAUACUACAUGAUUUCAUUUAAAUAAAAUUAAAAGACCAGACAAAGCUAAGCAAUGUAUUUUUAGGGUGUACGUGGCAUGAUUAUGAAGGAAGGACAUCAAAAUCAGGAUAGUGGCUUACCUUCGUGAGGGAGGAAGGGUAUGUGACUGGAAGAGGGCUACGCAGGAAGUUUCUAAGGUUUUGGCAAUAUUUCCUUCACACUAAAAAUGUGUUUACCCAUGUGUUUGCUUUAUUAUCUUUAUCCUUUAAAAUACACAUGUGUUUUGUUUCCAUAGUUAUUUGUUUUACAAUAAAAAUACAAUAACGUAGUCCCAGCUACCUGGGAAGCUGAGGCAGGAGGAUCAUUUGAACACUGGAAUUCAAGGUCAGCCUGGACAAUAUAGCAAGAGCCUGUCUCUAAAAAAUAAAUAAAUAAUAAAUUUAAAAGUUUCAAUGUGAUAAGGUAUGAAGAACUUAACAACGGCAUGGUGCAUAGAAAAUAUUCAAUAAAUGUUUAUUAUUGUUUUGUUAUUAAUAUCAAAAUGUUUACAUCUAGUUAUAGCUGCAGCCCAUACAUUUUUCAGGUACUGCUAUUAUUUAGCUUGAAGUGUUUAACAAAUUUCCCUCAUGCUUUAAAACAAGUAUUAUUUAGUAGACUAUUUUAGUUUUCAGGCAUAUAAGAUUGUUCAAUCGAUCUCUCUUUUUGUCUUAUAAUAGUGCUGCAUUAGACUCAGAAGAUGUAGUCUGUAUGAAGGUAAUUUUUCUGACAGUUAUUGAAUAAAUUUAUUUGUAGCUUAAAAAAAGAAAAUGUAUUUAGAUGAAUAAAAAAUACCUUUGUUUAAAUUCCUGCAGUGAAAAUAAUUUCGGUACUGCAAUUCUGUAACUCUCUACUCUUCCUUUCUCUAUUACAGUCUUGAUUUUGAUAUCUCUAUUUUUGAAAACCCAAGCCUUCUUAGUAUUGGAACCAUAAUAAUAUUACAGAAUAGACUAUGAUUUUGUGUUUAUAUGUAUUGUUUAGUAUUAAUUUAUACCACCACCAGCAGUGUAAGAGGAUGCCUGUUUCCUUGUCCCCUGGUGAGCAGCAUUGGAUAAUAUUUAAAAAUAAUUUUUGGCAAUUGGAUUUUUUUUCUGUUACAUUUAUUCCUUUACUUGUUAGUAAACUUUAAUUUCUUGAAUAUAUGUAUAUAUUGUCCAAUUUUCAUUCUAUGUGCAUAUUUAUGUCCUUUACUAAUUUUCUAUUGUGAGAGUAGUGUUUUUGUUUUGUGUUUUUUUCAAAAAUUAAUUUGUAAAACCAGCUUAUAUAUUUAGGAUGGUAUCAUUCCUUGUUGCAAUUUUCUUCUCCCCAGUUUGGAACUGGCUUUAAAAUUUCAACUUAUUCUUUUUUACCUAUUGUCUUUUCUUCCUCUUCUUCAGGAGCAAACAUUCCCAGUCUUUUCUUCUUAUUUCAUGUAGAGCAGUUUAGUCUUCUUUUAUUGCAGGGGGAAGAUGGUCAUUUGGCAGUGAUGAUGUGGCCCCGAUUGCAGAAUUGAGUUGGAGGCCGAAGCAUGUGAGCUCUGAUCCUUGCCAGUUCCGGGACAUUUGGAAAUGUCUGGAGAUAUUUUUGUUGGCACAACUGGGAGGAGACUGCUACUGGCAUCUAGUACGUUAGAGACCAAGGAUUCUACUGAACAUUCUGAAAUGCACAGCCACCUUUCCUGCUGCAUGUGAGAGCUUUUCAGAAGAAGGAAGCUGGCGCAUAACCAGAAGCAAAGUUGAAAAAUGGAGAGAGAUGAGCUCUGAUGACACUGUGUGAGAGCCUCAGGCAGGUCCUGCAGGAGGUAUUCCAGAAGAGGGCAUUGUUAUUAUAGGAGAUGACCCUGCCAUGUUACUGCUGCUGCGCACCUCACCAUCAGAUUGGAUGUGAAGGUGGAAGACAGUGAUAUUGGUGAUUCUGACCCUGUGUAGGCCUAGAGUAAUGUGUGUAUUUGUGUCUUAAUUUUUAGCAAAAUUUAAAAAUAAAAAUAAUUUAAAAUUAGAAGAAAGCUUAUAAAGAUACAAAGAAAAAAGUGUUUUUGUACAGCAAGUGCAAAUGUUUAUAAACUCCGUAAUAGUGUAUAUAAUGUCCUAGGCCUUCGCAUUUACUCACCACUCGCUGACUCAGUCAGAGCAACUUCUAGUCCUGCAAGCUCCAUUUAUAGUAAGUACCCUAUACAGGUGUACCAUUGUUUAUCUUUUAUACUAUAUUUUUACCAUACUUUUUCUAUAUUUAGAUAUGUUUAAAUACACAAAUAUUUAUCGUGUUACAGUUGCCUACAGUAUUCAAUACAAUAAAUGCUGUGCAGGUUUGUAGCCUAGGAGAAAUAGGCAAUAGGCAAUAUCAUAUAGCCUAGGUGUGUGGUAGGCUAUGCCAUCUAGGUUUGUGUAAGUACACUCUUGUACAACAACAACAUUGCUUGAUGCAUUUCUCAGAAUAUAUCCUUGUUAUUAAGCAAUGCAUAACUGUAUUUGGUAAAACACAAAGAUAUUCCACAUAUUUUAUUAUGCUAUUAAGCAUCGUUUGAAAUAAUUUAUUUCAGUUAUAACUUGUUUAUUCUUUCACAUGAACAUUGAAAUCAUUGAGUUUACUUCUUAAGCAUUUCAUUGGUAUCUUCAUUUAAAUUGCCUUAUGUUUAUGUUAUUAAACAUACUAAUAAACAGGUUUUCUUUUUUGGGCCUCAGUGAAGUUUGGUAGUUUUCAUUAUAUAAGACGUUUUUCAUUUCAUGUUAGGAUGUUUCUUAUGUAUUGCAUGUUUCUGAUUAUUGUUAAAGAUGGGACUUUUUUCCUGUUAAAUUUCUUAGGUGAUUACUGUUGAGAUCUAUGUCUAUAUCUAUUAUCUGUAUCGAUGUCAAUAUCUGUGUCUAUAUUGCUGAUUUUUGUGUCUUUUUAAACUAGUUAUCUUACUGACUUCUACUAGUACAUUUUCACUUUUUUUACUCAGGUUUUUCUGUAUAGAGAAGAAUCACUUGAAAAUAGAGAGACAUUUGUCCCCAUUUAACAAUAAUUUAUUGUAUAUUUUAAAAUAACUGAACAAAUGGAAUUGGAAUGUUUCUAACACAAAGAAAUGAUAAAUACUUGAGGUGAUAGCUAUCCCAAUUAUCCUGAUUUGAUCAUUAGACAUUGUAUGCUUGUAUCAGUAUAUCACAUGCACUACAUAAAUGUGUGUAACUAUUAUGUGUCCAUAAUAAUUAAUAAAAAACCAUCAAUUAAAAAAUUAUUGUCCUUUAUUACAUUGGCUAUAACUUACAGAAAAAUGCAAAAGAGUAAUGAGCACACUGCUCUUCUUCCUGAAUUUAAUGAGAAUGCACUCUGUAUUUUAUCAUUAACCAUAAUAUUGGCUAUCACUAUGCAAUAACUAUUCUCUAUUAGAUUAAGGAAGUUUUCUUCUAUUUUCAGGCGGCUUUUGUAUUUAUUUUAAUAUUGCUUUCAUUUUAAUUAUUUUUAAUCUUUGCAAUUAUUGAAAUAAUUAUUUUUAAUCUUCAGAGGUAUUGAUGUGACUAAUUAAUUGACUGGUGUUUUUAGCAUGCUAGCGGAUUAGCAUGUUAUUUAUAUUAAUAGUGAGAUUAGUUUGUGAUUUCCUUUUUUGUGCUGUAUUUAUGUGUGGGCUUUGGUAUUAGAGUAUUGGUGGUUUGGGAAAAUGAAUUGGAAGUGUGCCAUCUUUUUCUCUGCUCUGGAACAAUUUAAAUUGCAUGUUAAUUAUCUUUCCUUGAAGCUUCGAUAGGACUCACUUGUAAAAUUGUCUGGACAUGAUACAGCUUUUGGAAUUAUUUCUUAGGCAAAAAUUUCAACUUCUCCCAUGGUUAUUGAUAUCCAGAUGAACUAUUUUCUCAAGUCAUUUAAGUUUAUGUGUUUUUAGAAAAUCACGUGUCUCAUCCUUAUUUUCAGGAUUUUUAGCUUAGAUUACUGUGUUUAAAUUUCUUACACCAUUAUAACAUACUUCUGUAUCUGUGAAUAAAGCCUAAUUCUUGCUUUUAA
This is a long non-coding RNA of Pongo pygmaeus (Bornean orangutan), 9738 nucleotides long. RefSeq lists it as uncharacterized. The record is from RefSeq and is a predicted model, not a curated record. The transcript has 4 exons. NCBI's taxonomy places the organism in Eukaryota, Metazoa, Chordata, Mammalia, Primates, Hominidae.